RNAcentral lists this long non-coding RNA (706 nucleotides) under Equus caballus (horse). RNAcentral's name for it is "lncRNA (ENSECAG00000028497.3)". Lineage: Eukaryota; Metazoa; Chordata; Mammalia; Perissodactyla; Equidae. The record is from RNAcentral.
AUAUUGAAGCAAAACAUUUGCGUUUGUUUUUAAAGCAGAAUCAUCCUGAAUUUAUUAUCUGGUCCAGAGAUUGCCUUCUUGUUUGCUUUUUAAAAUUCGGCUAAGGCCUCUUUUCUGGCUUGAGAAACGGCUUGGGUUUUAGGUUAAAGGCAGUUUGGUUUUCGGGGAGGGUGGGGUCAGCCUAGCUCAGGGCGGCCCAGUGGGAUUCUGUUUCCUGCAACAUAUCCACGUCUUGAAAAUAUCUGGUAAAUACCGAAAGCAAAUUUCAACGAGCUGGUAAUUCCUGCGGAAACAGAAUUUCAGACUGUUUACUGAGAAGACACCCAGGGGUCUUGAGAUGGGAUCUUGACCAUACAACCAUUUUCCCACACAGGUGCCCAGCCUGCAGUUCCAGAGAUGUGUGUGAAGGAGGAUUUAAACGAGUUCACAUUUAUGGGAGAACCCCUCCAAAACGAUCACUGAAGAUCUUAUGCUUACUCAAGGCUUUGGCAUUGCAAUGCCCCUAAGACCUUCGACUCUAGACCCUACCACAGGUAACGGGAAGGAAACCCUGAACUGAGGUUGAACUUCUACUACCUGGCAGAGUGGAAGCUCAACACUGAAAUUAAAUUUGGUCAUAGACACAAAUAUUACUUGUGCACUUGAGUUUAUGGACUGAGAGAUUUAUCUCUCAGAGAUUUGAACUUUAUUUAGCAGAAAAUAGGGA